AAUUAACGCUGGCGGCAUGCGUAACACAUGCAAGUCGUACGAGAAAGCCCGGUUCGCCGGGCGAGUAAAGUGGCGCACGGGUGAGUAACGCGUGGGUAAUCUACCUCGGUCUGGGGGAUAACGCACCGAAAGGUACGCUAAUACCGCAUAAUCCGACGGACCCUUGAGUCUGUCGGGAAAGGUGGCCUCUACAUGUAAGCUACCGAACUGAGAUGAGCCCGCGUCCUAUUAGCUUGUUGGUGGGGUAAAGGCCUACCAAGGCGACGAUGGGUAGCUGGUCUGAGAGGACGGCCAGCCACACUGGAACUGGUACACGGUCCAGACUCCUACGGGAGGCAGCAGUGAGGAAUAUUGCGCAAUGGGGGAAACCCUGACGCAGCGAUGCCGCGUGGGUGAAGAAGGCCUUCGGGUCGUAAAGCCCUGUCAAACGGGAAGAACAGUCUGGGGGCGAAUAAUCCUCAGGCCUGACGGUACCGUUGAAGGAAGCACCGGCUAACUCCGUGCCAGCAGCCGCGGUAAGACGGAGGGUGCGAGCGUUAUUCGGAUUUAUUGGGCGUAAAGAGAGUGUAGGCGGUCGGUCAAGUCCGAUGUGAAAGCCCGGGGCUUAACCUCGGAAGGGCGUUGGAAACUGGUCGACUUGAGUUCGGGAGAGGGAAGCGGAAUUCCGGGUGUAGAGGUGAAAUUCGUAGAUAUCCGGAGGAACACCGGUGGCGAAGGCGGCUUCCUGGACCGAAACUGACGCUGAGACUCGAAAGCGUGGGGAGCAAACAGGAUUAGAUACCCUGGUAGUCCACGCGGUAAACGAUGGGCGCUAGGUGUGGGGGGGUUUUUAAUCCCUCCGUGCCGCAGCUAACGCAUUAAGCGCCCCGCCUGGGGAGUACGGGCCGCAAGGUUA
This 895-nucleotide ribosomal RNA is filed under the name uncultured bacterium. RNAcentral describes it as "bacterial SSU rRNA". It matches the Rfam family "Bacterial small subunit ribosomal RNA", at positions 28 to 896 of the family's 1533-position model. The record is from RNAcentral.